UAAAAAGCUCGUAGUUGAACCUUGGGCCUGGCUGGCCGGUCCGCCUCACCGCGUGCACUGGUUCGGCCGGGCCUUUCCCUCUGGGGAACCUCAUGCCCUUCACUGGGUGUGAUGGGGAACCAGGACUUUUACUGUGAAAAAAUUAGAGUGUUCAAAGCAGGCCUAUGCUCGAAUACAUUAGCAUGGAAUAAUAGAAUAGGACGUGUGGUUCUAUUUUGUUGGUUUCUAGGACCGCCGUAAUGAUUAAUAGGGACAGUCGGGGG
Molecule: ribosomal RNA, 263 nt
Filed under: uncultured Ascomycota
Lineage: Eukaryota; Fungi; Ascomycota
Description: partial 18S ribosomal RNA
Rfam family: Eukaryotic small subunit ribosomal RNA
Source: RNAcentral